CCAGGGUGGGUAUAGCCACCGGGGUUACUAACGGGUAGGUUUAGAGCCCGGGUGUGUAUAGCCAUAGGAGUUACUAACUGGUAGGUUUAGGGCCAGGGUUGGUAUAGCCGCUGGGGUUACUAACGGGUAGGUUUAGAUUCAGGGUGGGUAUAGCCAUAGGAAUUACUAACGGGUAGGUUUAGGGCCAGGGUUGGUAUAGCCGCUGGGGUUACUAACGGGUAGGUUUAGAUUCAGGGUGGGUAUAGCCAUAGGAAUUACUAACGGGUAGGUUUAGGGUUAGGGUUGGUAUAGCCGCUGGGGUUACUAACGGGUAGGUUUAGUGCCAGGGUGGGUAUAGCCACAGGGGUUACUCACGGUUAGGUUUCGAGUUGUGGUGUGUUUUGCCAUAGGAGAAGUAUGCAAGUCUGAAAAGAGUCAAAAGGGUAGCAAAAGAGUAGAAAGAUAGAAGAAAAUAGAUUCUCAAAUUAUGUCUCAUUCAGUCCCCUCGGGUGCAGGGUAUCCAG
This is a long non-coding RNA of Cyprinus carpio carpio, 503 nucleotides long. The record is from Ensembl. NCBI's taxonomy places the organism in Eukaryota, Metazoa, Chordata, Actinopteri, Cypriniformes, Cyprinidae.